RNAcentral lists this long non-coding RNA (688 nucleotides) under Pan troglodytes (chimpanzee). RNAcentral describes it as "long non-coding RNA NONPTRT008183". Lineage: Eukaryota; Metazoa; Chordata; Mammalia; Primates; Hominidae. The record is from RNAcentral.
GGACGGUCCUCUGUGCGCUCACACCCUUUCUGGAGAAGUCCACAUGGCAGAAAGAACGCAUUGUUCGGGAAACUAUGUCUCACACGGCUUCCUCUCUCCACCCGAAAGAAGUACCAUGCCUCAUCCUCCCUCUGCGCGUCUCUGAUCACCAAGGAGCAGCUCCCUUUGCCGGGAUCCCCAGUGAGCUGGAAUCGGUCCCGGGUGCUCAUUUCCACCUCUCGACUCUGGUUGUUUGUGGCCACAGGAGCACCCGUCUUUGGGCUGGUCCAUCGUUUGAACCAGUAGCCAUAAGCAGCAGUAGACUCGUCCCAGCCAUCCCGGGGGUAGGAGAGGUUGCAAGACACGAUGACACACAGGCCCUCGGGCACCGUCACCUGCCUCUGCACUUGAAGACUGUAACUGGGAUCCUUGUUCAGGGACCCUGGGGAGAUGCAGAGGCUCAGCGGCAGCCCCAGCCCCUGCCUGGGACCCCCAGCCACCGACCCACUCACCAGCCCCCAGCAUGGGCAGCAGCAGGGGUAGCAGCAACAGGGGUAACAGCAGCAUCUCUGGGCUCUGGGGCUGGGCCUGUCCCAGGACCAUCUGGCUUCUGGGCCAGCCUGGCUGGGAAGGAAACUCCUCCAGCAGGAAGCCUGGUGGAGGGGCAGUGACCAUCCGCAGAGGAGGAGCCUCGGGAACCGCUAUGUCC